This is a long non-coding RNA of Daucus carota subsp. sativus, 1860 nucleotides long. RefSeq lists it as uncharacterized. The transcript is spliced from 2 exons. Lineage: Eukaryota; Viridiplantae; Streptophyta; Magnoliopsida; Apiales; Apiaceae. The record is from RefSeq and is a predicted model, not a curated record.
UGUGCCGUGUACUGUUAGUCAGUGGGUCCAUAGAUAAAAGAUAAUACUAGCAGAUAAACAUAUCACACAAAAAUACACGCUCGACUUAAGCCAAGAGAAUUAGGGUUUUGGGGAUUUGGGGGAAACCAUCAGAUGGGAUCAAGCAGAGAAACAAAGAUUGUGUUGAGCCAGAAGCGAGUUGCCAAGGAAAUAUAUUAUUUUCGAGUUGCGUGACUGUGCAGUCACAAGUUGUUCUAUUAGAGGCAAGUAUCUUUAUCGACGACUUGCACUUAUUUCAAGUAAAAUUUUAUCUCGUCUAUUUAAAAAGAAUCAUUCAUAUUCAUAUUUUGCUAUGUCCAUUAGUAGUGCAUGUCAUAUAUUUAAAAAUACAAUAUUAUUAAUUAUCCCUUGUAUAACUACUACAAGUAUUCUGUUUGACAUCUCUUUAUAACCAAUCAUAUUUUAUUUUCUUCACUCAAUAAACAUUUUCUGCUACUGCACACAAGCAUUCAUGAUCUUUUGAAUCUCUUUAUAAAAUUUUAGUUGUUUUCAGCAUUUUAAAAAGAUAAGCUGAUUAAGCUUUGAAAUUAUUAAUUAAAGAUCUUCAAUUAUUCUCUCUCCUAUAUUUGAACAUGUACUCUUUACGAGUAUAUUAGUUACCUGAAUUACAUUACACAACUUCGAGCAUGAAAGCUAUUUUACUUGCAUCAUUAUGUUGGACAUGUGUACACUCACAUCAUGUUUACAAUAUUUUAUCAACUGUUGUUUUCUAUAAAUGUUUCCUCUGAAAAGAACUUUUAUUUAAUGUUCUAGAAAUGCUGAACUGUUAAUCUAACGGUUAGUAUUAUGAUUUUGAUAUGAAACAAGGUUGUCGAUUAUUUUGAUACCUUGCUUAUUUUGUGAUUGGAAGUACCCUCGGGGACCGACCGCCGGUCCAGUUACAAUUUUGGCCAAUAUGUGCCUUGGAUCCCUUAAAAUUUGGUGACAUGCUUCGUGCAUGAUCCGGUGCUAUCUCGCGACUGAUCAUCGGCUAUAGCAUAGCGUGAAAUUAUUCCAAUCCCUAAAAAUGUUGUGGAAGGUUUAUAUAGUAAUGCUAUUCUUUAUUAGCAUUAAGUUUCAGAAAAGUUUUAUAAAUUAAAUUCGAAGUUCAUAUUGUCGCUGAAGCAUUUGUUGCCCAGUGAUAGUUAGAGCCAAGAAUGAGUUGAGAUCUUCUUAUCUGUUCAACCCGUCAUGGUCAUGCUGAUUUAGCAACUAAAUAUAUGGAAAUUUAGUCGACAAUGAUGGACACUGAAUAUUUAGGGAUUUCUUGAACUGUGGUUUAUGAACAGUUGAUUAUCAAAAGUUAUUUUGAACUUCUCAAAUCAUUUAUUUUUGAAGUUCUUGCAAAGAUAUUAUUUUAUGAGAUUUGCUGCAAUGCAAAUCAAAAUGGUUUUAAUGAUUUUGAAGUGAAUCAAUUAUUUGAUUCCAAAAUGUUUUCUCAUGAUAGAAACUUUCUCUCUCCAGUUUGGAAUUACAUUAUCAAUGUUUUGAAUAUAAAUCCAUGAUCUAUUGGAUUUGAAUUCCCUGCAUAUUAUGGAAUUACUUUAUUAUGAUUUUAAAGGUUUUCUUGCUGAGCAUUGUCGCUCACCCUUGCUAUUAUUUCUAACCCUUUCAGCUAGGGUUUAAGAUGAUUCAUCUACGUAAGCUGCGCAUAAGAUAGUUGUUGAGCGAGACUGCCAAGGAGAUGUCUGUGAGACCAGCUAUGGUUAGAAUUGUUUUAUUCCAGUUAAGUUAUAUAAUAGAUUUAUUUAUUUGGUUAUCAGUUACUCUUCUUAUCGAGGUUUAACUGAUAAUGUAGUUUAAGUUGUAAUAAGAUUUUAAGUUUUGGUUUCUGAUUUCAGU